AAGAGCUCCGACAAGUAGGAAGGCGACAACCCAUUUAAAAUUUUAAAAACAAUUAAUACAAUUUUAAAUUCAAUCCUGAAACAAACAGGAAGGCAGUGUAGGGUGGCCAAAGCCGGUGUAAUGUGGUCGCGUUUUUUUGUCCUGGUCAAAAGUCGAGCUGCUGCGUAUUAGCAUGUAAUCAUUUGAGCAUUCCUGCCUCAUCGUUCUGUGUGAGCGCGGUUUUUCAAAAGCUGGGGAAACAGUAUCUAAGAAACAGACUCAACCCCAAUACUGUGGAGAAAAUUGUGUUUCUUAAUAAAAAUCAAUAAUAAUUUCAUGCCCCAUCCCAUGUGUCCACAAGCACCUCAAUAUCCUGUCAUAAGAAAUCCGUCCAAAAGACACAGACACUGCCCCACUCACCAUUCCUCUGUAAAUCACUUCCCACAUUCCAGAUUCAAACAAUUCACAUAAGUCCCUAUGACUGCCAUGAACUGCACAUGCAGUAGGAAGCACUUGCUGGUAUUUUAAAUUAUAUUGCUUACAUACAAGUCAUAUAUAUAGCUUCUAUUAAUUCUUCUGCUAGUAUGAUCACAAACAUACAUGCACAAAGGUGCAGAAAGAUAAGUGUUUGUUCCACUUCUUUCAUGUACAGAGAAUUAAAAUACACAAACAACAACACAAUUCAAAAAUGAAAAACAAUAGUUUUAUUCAUAUAAGAAUUCAUGUAUUUAUUAGAUGAUUUAUUGGUUCAACUUGGUUCAACUCAUAAUCAGAGAUUGGGCCAAAAUAUACUGGUAGGCUACUGUCUCGGACAGGGGUCCGCAGUGCGCCGCCAGAACUUGGAAGGCGUUCUGCCAGGCUUUGGGGGCGACGGCCAGCCUUUUCUCAGGGUACCACCCGCAGACAAAUGGCCAGACAGAACGGGCUAACCAGGAUCUGGGAGCAGCACUACGCUGUGUGACGGCGAAACACCCGGCGUCCUGGUCCACACACCUCCCCUGGAUCGAGAGACCGACGUGGCAGUGGCUACCGUCAAGGAACAUCUUCGACGCGCUCGUCGGGUUUGGCGCGAGGCCCGGGCAGCCCUCAUCCGGACCUCUGCCCGGAACCAACGUAUCGCCGACAGUCAGCGUACACCGGCUCCAGAUUACCGUCGAGGGCAAAGGGUUUGGUUGGUCUGCCUCUACAGACAGAGUCCCGUAAAUUGACCCCCAGAUUCAUUGGACCGUUUGAGAUAGAUCAGAUCAUUAAUCCCUGUGCCGUAAAACGUAAGCUUCCCCCGUCUUUGAAGAUUCACCCUGCUAUUCACGUUUCCCUCCUCAAGUCUUCUGUGCCCUCCAGCACAGAAGACUUGAGGUGCCCUCCUCUCAUAGAUUUCCAGGACUACGUCAUAAGGUAAAUGAGUUGAAAGAAACAUGAAUGAUGUUUUUAAAGUCAGAAACAGUCAGAUGUUGGGAACAGAACAACUCAUCAUGUCAUGUAUCCAGAGAGUGCUUCUCAGUUAGAUAACACCACUCAUCCGGUCCUGUUCACAUUUAAAAUAAGAGAUCUUGAAUGGAUUACGAAGGUUCUCAGCACACAACCUUCUGGAAGGUGAGUCUUUAUUUCGUUUCACUUCUAGUUGAGAUGCUACGGUCCGU
Long non-coding RNA from Gasterosteus aculeatus aculeatus (three-spined stickleback), 1619 nucleotides. Lineage: Eukaryota; Metazoa; Chordata; Actinopteri; Perciformes; Gasterosteidae. The record is from Ensembl.